RNAcentral lists this unclassified non-coding RNA (261 nucleotides) under Hevea brasiliensis (rubber tree). Lineage: Eukaryota; Viridiplantae; Streptophyta; Magnoliopsida; Malpighiales; Euphorbiaceae. The record is from RNAcentral.
GAGGUCUCUUUCUGGUUCUGGUGCUGGUCCAAAUGCAGCAGCUGCUUCUCAGUUUGUGAGGGCUGAAAUGCUUCCCAGUGGCUAUUUGAUAAGGCCAUGUGAAGGUGGAGGGUCAAUUAUCCACAUAGUGGAUCACCUGAAUCUUGAGGCAUGGAGUGUUCCUGAGGUGCUGCGACCUCUUUAUGAAUCAUCAAAAGUAGUGGCCCAGAAAAUGACAAUUGCGGCACUGCGUUACAUCAGGCAAAUAGCUCAAGAGACUAG